This 402-nucleotide ribosomal RNA is filed under the name Bacteroidota bacterium. Its description in RNAcentral is "Bacteroidetes bacterium partial 16S ribosomal RNA". It matches the Rfam family "Bacterial small subunit ribosomal RNA", at positions 355 to 776 of the family's 1533-position model. The record is from RNAcentral. Lineage: Bacteria; Pseudomonadati; Bacteroidota.
UGGGGAAUUUUGCACAAUGGGGGAAACCCUGAUGCAGCGACGCCGCGUGAUUUAGAAGGCCUUCGGGUUGUAAAAAUCUUUUGUAUAGGAAGAAAAUGACAGUACUAUACGAAUAAGGACCGGCUAAUUACGUGCCAGCAGCCGCGGUAAUACGUAAGGUCCGAGCGUUGUCCGGAAUCAUUGGGCGUAAAGGGUACGUAGGCGGGUAAGCAAGUUAGAAGUGAAAUCCUAUAGCUCAACUAUAGUAAGCUUUUAAAACUGCUCAUCUUGAGGUAUGGAAGGGAAAGUGGAAUUCCUAGUGUAGCGGUGAAAUGCGUAGAUAUAUGGAGGAACACCGGUGGCGAAAGCGGCUCUCUGGUCUGUAACUGACGCUGAGGCUCGAAAGCGUGGGGAGCGAACAGG